UGGGGAAUAUUGCACAAUGGGCGAAAGUCUGAUGCAGCGACGCCGCGUGAGGGAUGACGGCCUUCGGGUUGUAAACCUCUUUCAGCAGGGAAGAAGCGAGAGUGACGGUACCUGCAGAAGAAGCGCCGGCUAACUACGUGCCAGCAGCCGCGGUAAUACGUAGGGCGCAAGCGUUGUCCGGAAUUAUUGGGCGUAAAGAGCUCGUAGGCGGUUAGUCGCGUCUGCUGUGAAAACUCGAGGCUCAACCUCGGGCUUGCAGUGGGUACGGGCUGACUAGAGUGCGGUAGGGGUGACUGGAAUUCCUGGUGUAGCGGUGGAAUGCGCAGAUAUCAGGAGGAACACCGAUGGCGAAGGCAGGUCACUGGGCCGCAACUGACGCUGAGGAGCGAAAGCAUGGGGAGCGAACAGGAUUAGAUAGCCCUGGUAGUCCAUGCCGUAAACGUUGGCACUAGGUGUGGGGUCCAUUCCACGGAUUCCGUGCCGCAGCAAACGCAUUAAGUGCCCCGCCUGGGGAGUACGGCCGCAAGGCUAAAACUCAAAUGAAUUGACGGGGUCAUAGCUGUUU
This 565-nucleotide ribosomal RNA is filed under the name uncultured bacterium. RNAcentral describes it as "partial 16S ribosomal RNA". It matches the Rfam family "Bacterial small subunit ribosomal RNA", at positions 355 to 935 of the family's 1533-position model. The record is from RNAcentral.